CACUCUGCAAGGUCCAUUGUCCAUUCUGAAGCAUUAAAUAACUAGUAUAAUAGGUCAUGAGGGAAAUUCCUGGCAUCUUAAUUUAAGUAUAUUACUUUGGCUGCAAGUCAAAGUUAUCAUUAUUAGGAUUUCUGGCAUCAGAACAAUCACUUGUAAUUCUUUCUGGAAGAAUUUUCUUGGUUAAGCAAUGCUAAUGAAAUCCUACUUAAACCAGCUAUAUUCUCUGGCAAUUUCCCAUCUAUGUAUGCACUGAUAAAUACUUGGAAGAUUCUCAUUCCUCAUUGAUUUAUUGACAUAAAAUCAUUUUGGUUCACUAUUACAAUUUUCAUUUCAUCUACAAUUAACCCAUUAAAUUUAUUAUUCCAAUUAUUCUUUACUCCUGGCACCUUAUGUUACUAUAACUGUUAUUUUAUACUAUUAUUAACACCUAAAUCUAUGAUACUGAAAAGGGUAAUAAUAAAUUUACAGUAGUUAUUUCCACAUCACCUUAGUUUGGGACAUAUUAUUGUUUACAACUUUACGUUACUACAGUAAUCUUGCUGUAUAAGUAUCUGUGUACAAGUUCUUUAUUUUUUACGGAAACAUUGAAAUAUUUAUUUGGAUUUUUUUCAGAGUUGGAUUGCUGGAUCAGGAAAUAUUAAUAUUUUAAAGACAUUUAUUACCAAACCAGUAUCAAAAAUAUCACUUUGGUUGACCAUGAUACCAGCAAUGGAUACAUGUAUAUGUUUCCCUGAAAUGCUAUGAAUACUGUUUUUCUGAGGCAUGAAGAGUGAUAAAAUAGUAUCACAGUUCCAGCAAUCACACCUACCAUCAAAGCAGGAAAAGAAGAAAAGCAUAAAGCAAGAGGUUUCACUUGAAUUUUGUCAAGAAAACAAAGACUCGUCCAAAAUUUUCUUUACAUCCUGUUGGUCAAAAAUAGUUUGAACUGGCAGCUCUAACUGCACGAAAGGUUGGAAGUAGUUUAAGAGUGACCACAAUUGAGAAAAAGAACAAGGAACUGGGCAAAGUUCAGAGAUGAGCAAAAGCACUAGUUUUCAUGAAGAGUUACACACAGAAUUAAUUAUGGCCUUUUAUGAAUCAAUAAUAUGCUUGCCUAUGUUCAAUCAGGAUCACAUGAUGACUGUGCUACCUCCAUCCGUCACAUCUUUAUUCAAUCAGGAAAAGAGAGAAGAGAGGUCAUAGCAACCAUGUCUAUCCAUCUUAGUAACAAUUUAGUUUUCUGGCCUGGCGCGGUGGCUCAGGCCUGUAAUCCCAGAACUUUGGGAGGCCGAGGCGGGUGGAUCACCUGAGAUCAGGAGUUCGAGACCAGCCUGAUCAACAUGGUGAAACCCCUGUCUCUACUAAAAAUACAAAAAUUAGCCAGGCAUGGUGGCGCAUGCCUGUAAUCCCAGCUACUUGGGAGGCUGAGGUAGGAAAUCACUUGAACCCAGGAGGCAGAGGUUGCAGUGAGCUGAGACUGUGACACUGCACUCCAGCGGGGGCAAAAAGAGCAAAACUUCAUCUCAAAAAAAGAAUUUAGUUUUCUGGAGGCUACUCUCACAGACUUAUGCUUAGCAUCUGUUAUAAGGUGAAUUGUGUCCUCUUAAAAGUAACAGGUUAAAACCCUAACCCCCAGUACCUCAGAAUGUAACUCUAUUUGAAGAUAGAGGCAAUAAAGAGGUAAUUAUGGUUAAAUAAAGUCAUCUGGGUGGGCCUUCAUUCAAUCUGAGCUGUAUUCUUUAAAAAGAGGGAAAUUUGGACACGUACACAAGACACCAGAGAUAUUCACACACAGAGGAAAGACUAUGAGGGGAUGCAGGUAGAAGGCAGCCUUCUGCAAGUUAAGGAGAGAGACUUCAAAAUAAAACAAAAUAAAACCAACUCUACUGACACCUUGAUUUUGGACGUCCAGCCUCCAGAACUAUGAGAAAAUAAAUUUCUGUCAUUUAAGCAA
Molecule: long non-coding RNA, 1933 nt
Organism: Homo sapiens (human)
Lineage: Eukaryota; Metazoa; Chordata; Mammalia; Primates; Hominidae
Exons: 5
Source: RefSeq, a predicted model, not a curated record